This is a non-coding RNA of Fukomys damarensis (Damara mole-rat), 114 nucleotides long. The record is from Rfam. Lineage: Eukaryota; Metazoa; Chordata; Mammalia; Rodentia; Bathyergidae.
GUUGGCUAUGGAGACAUGGCACCCGUCACUGUGGGUGGCAAGAUAGUGGGCUCUCUGUGUGCCAUCGCCGGCGUGCUGACCAUUUCCCUGCCUGUGCCUGUCAUUGUCUCCAAC